GAUGAACGCUGGCGGCGUGCCUAAUACAUGCAAGUCGAGCGAACAGAUGAGGAGCUUGCUCCUCUGACGUUAGCGGCGGACGGGUGAGUAACACGUGGAUAACCUACCUAUAAGACUGGGAUAACUUCGGGAAACCGGAGCUAAUACCGGAUAAUAUAUUGAACCGCAUGGUUCAAUAGUGAAAGACGGUUUUGCUGUCACUUAUAGAUGGAUCCGCGCCGCAUUAGCUAGUUGGUAAGGUAACGGCUUACCAAGGCAACGAUGCGUAGCCGACCUGAGAGGGUGAUCGGCCACACUGGAACUGAGACACGGUCAAGACUCCUACGGGAGGCAGCAGUAGGGAAUCUUCCGCAAUGGGCGAAAGCCUGACGGAGCAACGCCGCGUGAGUGAUGAAGGUCUUCGGAUCGUAAAACUCUGUUAUUAGGGAAGAACAAAUGUGUAGGUAACUAUGCACGUCUUGACGGUACCUAAUCAGAAAGCCACGGCUAACUACGUG
This 497-nucleotide ribosomal RNA is filed under the name uncultured bacterium. RNAcentral describes it as "partial 16S ribosomal RNA". It matches the Rfam family "Bacterial small subunit ribosomal RNA", at positions 28 to 507 of the family's 1533-position model. The record is from RNAcentral.